Notothenia coriiceps (black rockcod) is the source of this 231-nucleotide long non-coding RNA. RefSeq lists it as uncharacterized. The transcript is spliced from 2 exons. Lineage: Eukaryota; Metazoa; Chordata; Actinopteri; Perciformes; Nototheniidae. The record is from RefSeq and is a predicted model, not a curated record.
GUAUUGAUUUAUUCUUGGUUCCUUCCAAGGUCCAGGCUGGACAGCAAAUUUCAGGGAGUCUGGAGGGACGGCAGCUUCCCAAACGGCACCAGGGUGGGACAGCUCGUCGAGGAGCGGAUCGGGGACGCAGGGAAGUGGCUGGGCCAACUUCACCGAGUUCCAGCCUUUCUCCGGCACAGAGAAGGAGCCCAGGUGCAGCUCCCCGGCGGCCUCGGACAGUAGCGCUGUAGA